AAUGAUGUGCACGCCGCCCGCCUGGAGCGAGGCGGUGCGCGCCGUUGCGUCAUUGA
Molecule: small RNA, 56 nt
Filed under: Sinorhizobium meliloti 2011
Lineage: Bacteria; Pseudomonadati; Pseudomonadota; Alphaproteobacteria; Hyphomicrobiales; Rhizobiaceae
Description: putative ncRNA
Source: RNAcentral